Drosophila melanogaster (fruit fly) is the source of this 549-nucleotide non-coding RNA. NCBI's taxonomy places the organism in Eukaryota, Metazoa, Arthropoda, Insecta, Diptera, Drosophilidae. The record is from Ensembl.
ACUUGUUUGGGCAGAGCUGUUGUUGUUGCUGCGGUUCCGCUCGUGAUUUAACUGCAAAUUAUGCAAAAUUGUUGUCUAAAAACCAGAGGCUAAGUAGGUGCCAGAUUGUUGCGAACCGAAAUCCAAAUUCCGACGGCGACACGAGGAGAAGGCGACUGAGAAUCGAAUUUUCUCCGCUCGCUGCGAUUCUCCAAUGUGGCUGCGACGAAAACACACGACAGACUGAAGAAGCCUGAAGACCGGAGACUGGAGCCGGGCUCUCUCUCUUGCUUCAGGAUGCCCGAGCGCAGAAAUCCACCUCGACUUCAACCCACCUGUGGUCAAGAAAUUGCUGUAAUGAAGAUGGCGAGCCCCGAAGAAACGGAGUCGCUCAGAGGUGAAUAGUUUCUCCCCAGAGUGGUUUGGUCGGUUUCUCCCAGAGAAUCGGAGAAGAAUUUCAAAAGGUGCACACACAAUACACAAAAUAAAAUCGACGACAGGUCCACAAUUAGCCAGGGAAGAGAGCUAUCUGUCUAUAGCUGCUCUCCCGCUCCGAGAGCGACCCGCUAU